GGAUCUCCGAAGCAAGCAGUCAAAGCGGCCACUGCCUUGCCUGCUGGAAAUUCUCGAAAAUUUUUCUCCCGCAGUUGACCAGAUGGAGAGGGAGAAGUCUGUUCCCGCUGACUGACAGCAGAUCCGGCCAGUCCGCACUCGGCGAGACGGCUGGCCGGCCGCCCGGGCCCUCGAUCGCAGCCAGUCACAGAUGCCGAUGGGAACGAGCCUCCCCGCGGCUGCUAUUUGACUUCGCAGGCUUCCAGCUGCGCGGCGGAGCGACGUCACCCUGUGCCAGUGGUGGCUCGCGGCGGCGCCCCGCCCUCCCGAGCCACUCGAUGUCUUUUGAUUGGAGAGUUUAAUCAAACAGAAGGAGUCUUCCAUUGUGGCCACCACAGCUGGGAAUGAGCUAAGGUCUUGCUAUGUUGCCUAGACUGGUUUUGAACUCCUGGGCUGAAGCAAUCCUCCCACUUCGGCCUCUCAAAGUGCUGGGAUAUCAGACAUGAGCCACCUGCCAUGCUUGGCCUAUAAUCAUGAAAAGAUCAACCCCAAGAAAGAAAAGGAAACAUGGAAGGACCUGGACUGGAGUCACGCCAGUACAAGGAGGAUACUGGCAAAGAUGAGGCUAGUCAAGUGGAGCAGUGGGAGUGAAGAUGGAAUAAAGAAAUCCAUAACUGGUUGUGAUUAAGUAGUUGUAAACACCAACUGCACUCAGACCAACCCAUAUAUAUAUUUUUAAUUGUAAGCAUAGUAUAUAUAAAACUUCAAUUCCUGCUUUUUUUUACCUAACAUUAUAUCAUAUGCAUUUUCCAUACUGUUUCACAAUUCCUUGUAUUCGUAAUUGUUUAAUCCUGCAAAAUAAUGCUUCGAAUGAACAUAUGAUCAUUUCCUUAAGUAUUCCCCUACUAUUAGAAGUGAAGUUUCUUCCAGCAUUUUUCUCUUUGCUGUGAUGAAUAUUUUUAAGUAUAGAGAUUUUUCAGUUUGGUUAUGAGUUUUUGAAAAUCUACUUUACCAAAAACAAAGAAAACCCAUGUCUUUCUUUAGUACCUUUGCCAAGAUAUUACUUUUACUUGACAUUCAACAAGUAUAGGAUGAAAGUACACAAGUCUGCAAGGGACCUUGGAAGUAACUUGUUUCUGUCUAAUUUCUAUAAAAUUUCCAGGAGAUAGUCAUACAGCUUUAAUUUGAUCGCAUCCACUAGUUUUGGCAUUGGUAUUGCCAUAUUGAUUAUGGACACAUAAAACUGUAACUCCUGGAGCCAACCUCUCAGGCUUUCCUACAUGAAACCAAUGCCACCAUCCCACCCGCACUCUAGCACCUUCUAUCCACUGAUUUUAGUCAUUGACUUGCUCUCUUCCUCUUUCUGUUUGUUGUCUUCCAGUUUGUCUCUUUCAUUCCUCCCCUCCCUUCUCUAUCCUGCUCUCUGACCCAAGAGGCUGACCUGUAUGAACCACAUCAGUGAUUGGCUGGUGGGGCCCCCCAGCAAAGAGGAUGGAGUGAAGUGAGGGUAUUUACUUGCUUAAUUGCCUCCAGGCUGGGUCACUCACAGCUGGCCAUGUCCUUCCAUCAAAGAUCAGAGCUCUCCUCAAGGUAGCCCUCUCCACAAACUUUCUUGAGUUUCUCUUUCUGGGUUUUGUUAACCAUUUUCUCAACUUGUCCCUUCAUGCCUAGAGGUAAUAGCAGGUGGGGAAUGCUGUGCUAUUCCAUUUGGUUUUCCUGCACCCUUCCCAUGUUUGUAUGUAGUCCCUUUCAUCAAAGUACUGGGACUGUCCUAAUUCGAAUGUGCCAUCUUUUUUGUUUCCUGCUAAGAACUGUUCAACUCACUCU
Molecule: long non-coding RNA, 1806 nt
Organism: Homo sapiens (human)
Lineage: Eukaryota; Metazoa; Chordata; Mammalia; Primates; Hominidae
Gene: PPM1K-DT
Product: PPM1K divergent transcript
Source: Ensembl